RNAcentral lists this ribosomal RNA (491 nucleotides) under uncultured bacterium. RNAcentral's name for it is "partial 16S ribosomal RNA". It matches the Rfam family "Bacterial small subunit ribosomal RNA", at positions 29 to 506 of the family's 1533-position model. The record is from RNAcentral.
AGUGAACGCUGGCGGUAGGCCUAACACAUGCAAGUCGAACGGCAGCACAGUAAGAGCUUGCUCUUACGGGUGGCGAGUGGCGGACGGGUGAGGAAUACAUCGGAAUCUACUUUUUCGUGGGGGAUAACGUAGGGAAACUUACGCUAAUACCGCAUACGACCUACGGGUGAAAGCAGGGGAUCUACGGACCUUGCGCGAUUGAAUGAGCCGAUGUCGGUUUAGCUAGUUGGCGGGGUAAAGGCCCACCAAGGCGACGUUCCGUAGCUGGUCUGAGAGGAUGAUCAGCCACACUGGAACUGAGACACGGUCCAGACUCCUACGGGAGGCAGCGGUGGGGAAUAUUGGCCAAUGGGCGCAAGCCUGAUCCAGCCAUACCGCGUGGGUGAAGAAGGCCUUCGGGUUGUAAAGCCCUUUUGUUGGGAAAGAAAAGCAGCAGGUUAAUACCCCGCUGUUCUGACGGUACCCAAAGAAUAAGCACCGGCUAACUUCGU